GUUGCGGUGGCCGAGUGGUUAAGGCGUUGGACUCGAAAGCCAAUUGGAUCUUCCCGCGCAGGUUCGAGUCCUUCCGGCAACG
This is a non-coding RNA of Nematostella vectensis (starlet sea anemone), 82 nucleotides long. Lineage: Eukaryota; Metazoa; Cnidaria; Anthozoa; Actiniaria; Edwardsiidae. The record is from Rfam.